AACGAACGCUGGCGGCAUGCCUAACACAUGCAAGUCGAACGAGACCUUCGGGUCUAGUGGCGCACGGGUGCGUAACGCGUGGGAACCUGCCCUUAGGUUCGGAAUAACUCAGAGAAAUUUGAGCUAAUACCGGAUAAUGUCUUCGGACCAAAGAUUUAUCGCCUUUGGAUGGGCCCGCGUAGGAUUAGCUUGUUGGUGGGGUAAUGGCCUACCAAGGCGACGAUCCUUAGCUGGUCUGAGAGGAUGAUCAGCCACACUGGGACUGAGACACGGCCCAGACUCCUACGGGAGGCAGCAGUGGGGAAUAUUGGACAAUGGGCGAAAGCCUGAUCCAGCAAUGCCGCGUGAGUGAUGAAGGCCUUAGGGUUGUAAAGCUCUUUUACCAGGGAUGAUAAUGACAGUACCUGGAGAAUAAGCUCCGGCUAACUCCG
Molecule: ribosomal RNA, 431 nt
Filed under: uncultured bacterium
Lineage: Bacteria
Description: partial 16S ribosomal RNA
Rfam family: Bacterial small subunit ribosomal RNA
Source: RNAcentral